GGAAACGGCAACUAAUACCGUAUACGCCCUACGGGGGAAAGAUUUAUUGCUAUUAGAUGAGCCUAUAUUAGAUUAGCUAGUUGGUAGGGUAAUGGCCUACCAAGGCAGUAAUCUAUAGCUGAUCUGAGAGGAUGAUCAGCCACACUGGAACUGAGAUACGGUCCAGACUCCUACGGGAGGCAGCAGUGGGGAAUAUUGGACAAUGGGCGAAAGCCUGAUCCAGCCAUGCCGCAUGAGUGAAGAAGGCCUUUGGGUUGUAAAGCUCUUUCAGUGAGGAAGAUAAUGACGGUACUCACAGAAGAAGUCCUGGCUAACUCCGUGCCAGCAGCCGCGGUAAUACGGAGAGGGCUAGCGUUAUUCGGAAUUAUUGGGCGUAAAGGGCGCGUAGGCUGAUUAGUAAGUUAAAAGUGAAAUCCCAAAGCUUAACUUUGGAAUUGCUUUUAAAACUGUUAAUCUAGAGGUUGAAAGAGGAUAGAGGAAUUCCUAGUGUAGAGGUGAUAUUCGUAAAUAUUAGGAGGAACACCAGUGGCGAAGGCGUCUAUCUGGUUCAAAUCUGACGCUGAGGCGCGAAGGCGUGGGGAGCAAACAGGAUUAGAUACCCUGGUAGUCCACGCUGUAAACGAUGAAUGUUAAAUAUGGGAAGUUUACUUUCUGUAUUACAGCUAACGCGUUAAACAUUCCGCCUGGGGACUACGAUCGCAAGAUUAAAACUCAAAGGAAUUGACGGGGACCCGCACAAGCGGUGGAGCAUGUGGUUUAAUUCGAUGCAACGCGAAAAACCUUACCACUCCUUGACAUGGGAAUUAUUCCUAUUCGAAGGAAUAGGGUCGGUUCGGCCGAAUUUCACACAGGUGUUGCAUGGCUGUCGUCAGCUCGUGUCGUGAGAUGUUGGGUUAAGUCCCGCAACGAGCGUAACCCUCAUCCUUAGUUACCAUCAGGUAAUGCUGGGGACUUUAAGGAAACUGCUAGUGAUAAACUGGAGGAAGGUGGGGAUGAUGUCAAGUCAUCAUGGCCCUUAUGGAGUGGGCUACACACGUGCUACAAUGGUGGCUACAAUGGGCUGCAAAGUCGCGAGGCCAAGCUAAUCCCUUAAAAGCCAUCUCAGUUCGGAUUGUACUCUGCAACUCGAGUGCAUGAAGUUGGAAUCGCUAGUAAUCGUGGAUCAGCAUGCCACGGUGAAUACGUUCUCGGGUCUUGUACACACUGCCCGUCACGCCAUGGGAAUUGGUUUCACUCGAAGCUAAUGACCUAACCGUAAGGAGGG
Molecule: ribosomal RNA, 1264 nt
Filed under: Wolbachia endosymbiont of Brugia malayi
Lineage: Bacteria; Pseudomonadati; Pseudomonadota; Alphaproteobacteria; Rickettsiales; Anaplasmataceae
Description: bacterial SSU rRNA
Rfam family: Bacterial small subunit ribosomal RNA
Source: RNAcentral